GGAAAUUUGGUUGUAACAGCAGCCAAAAAGACACAUAUACAAACAAACAGUACACAGGACACAGAACAGAAACAUUCACAAUUUUUCUUACAUAUUUACAUUAAGGACAAUGUUGCAGGAUCGGAGAGUAUAUUUCUUUGGGUAACGCCUAAGGAAAAUGUUGGCCGUAUUAUGUUCAUUACAACCUGCUGAGACUCUCUGACCAAACCAGGGACGCCAUGAUGGGGUUCGCAGAACAAUUAGGUCCGAGUUCGCUGACGGGAGAGCGAAAUCGAAUUAUCUAAAACCAUGCAUGAGCACUCAGGUAUCGAAAAUAUGCUGGCGUCCUGGAUGACAUCUGUGUUUGGACAAUGGAAAGGUGUGGCUAAGUAAACUUGGCAAGUGUCAGUGAUGUUUUCUUUGACUGUACUUUUGGGAAUACUGGUCAUCGCUAGUUGUGGUAUCAUUCCUUGUGUCAGAGGAUGGUUGGUAAAGAUAAUGGCGAGGGUUGCGAACCCUGCCUGGGUUGAGGGAAAUUCUUUAUUCCUAUUAUAUAAUCUGCAUUAUUAUGAUUGCAUUAAGAACAUGUUUUACAGCAUUCUUUCAACUUUACAGCUCCUAACUUGCAGGAAUGGCGGGGAGUGUAAUGAAUGAAUGCAAAAUAUGCUUACAGACACAAUCAUGACAGGGGUUUAUUUUACAGGGUAAAGGUGGACCACAGGUUGCUUUGUUUCUGCUUAGCAACUACUGAGGUAAAAGGUGUUAAAGAUAAAUAUGCAAUAAGUGAACAGGAAAUGUGUGAGGGUGAGCCGGGUGAAACAAAAUGUUGUAGAUAAUGGAAACUUGUCUAACGGGCAUUAACAGUAACCUUUGCAUGUUAUGUAUAUGCUUGAAGCCAAAGGAGGCAUAAAUCCAGAUAGAAAACUUUGAAGUGUGCUUUUAGCGGAGAUUUAGGCUGACAGGGGGAUGGUGUAUAUAUUUUACCCGGGGUGUGUUUAAUAAAAAAAAAAAAAAAAAAAAAAAAAGCGUUGCUCACACACAUAAAGAGUAUUGAGAUUAAAUAAAGUUAAUAUAAUGGAUAGAGCCCAGAACAGGAAAAUACAUAAGUAAAAUCAAAUGUAAUGUUUGAUUUCACUUUUAUUGGGAAACAAUCAGGCUAGAAAUGUGAGUAACCUAUGUUUAAACUGUGAAAACACUCUCCACAUACAUUAAAACUGUGCAACUCUGAGUGGGCCAUGCAAUCAAGCAACUGUUACAUAUCUGUAUUAAACUAGCCAACAUAGACUCACCACAAAUGAUGUUGCCCUGCAGCGGGGGCAGAAAAUCAUUUGCAAACCAGGGAUCUUAUGUUGAUUAUCAUAUUCUUACUUAUGUACACACACACACAGAAGGGAAAAAUUUCAAAACAAAACAAAAACAACUUCGCUUAACCUGUCAAGCACAGGAGCAAAAUAAAAAUCUCUUUGGGCUCUGUUAAAAUUUCUUUAGUAAAAGUGUAAAAGGCCAAACCUAAGAGGUUGGGCAACCCGGAAAGUCCCUCCAGUAUCAGGAGUUAAUAGUCAGGAAACAUUCUUCACUUUAACGCGUUUUUUAUGAAAAACCACUGACUCAUAGAUGCAGAUAGACAUACAAGUGCACAUACAUCCAGAUGUGCAUUUAGACAUUAAAAGUGUAGAGACAUGUACACACAGAUUGGCAAACCGGUACAGAGUCUAACUGAAGAGCUUAACAAAGCAGACGUGGCAGUAGGGUUUGUGAUUUUGCCUGAUAUGAUAUUGGGAACCAACUUUGAAUAAUGACAGGAACCUGAGAUGAACACAGUAGGUUAGUAAGGUGUAGCAGAGAGAGGGUCAGAGCGAAGGUAGUGGACCUGGGAAUAGUGUAGUGACGUCUUUGGAAGACGUCAAAAGGGGGAAUUGUAGAAUUAUAGGGACUAUUUUACAUAACCAUCAUCUUGUCAUUGCAUUAAUUAUCAUUUCAUCCAAGCAUUUAUUGAAGCUGCUGGCAUUAUGUUAUAAUUUAUAUUAUAGGGGUUAUCAUAAUCAAAUAUUAACAUGUUUAUUACAGGUGCAGUAUAACUACUUUAAAAUGAUUGAGUUAAAUAUAUAUAUAUCAUAACUCAUAUGCUGAGUAUAUUGUUACAGUAAAAUAGUAGCUGAGCAAAGGCCUGAAUGUAUUCAGCUUCUUGUGGUAUUUGAGUUUGCUUAGUUACAGGUGACGGAAGGAUGUCCAGUCCAUGGUGACCUCAAAGGCCUUAGGUCAUCACUAUAUUCGGAAGAGUAUGCCACAAGGAGGAACCUCUAUGUUGCAGUUAAUUCUUAAAAUACAUGAAUGUUCUGUACAUGCAAAUUAUGUGCUUGUAAACGCAAGAAGGGGCGUUACAAUACCCUGAUGUUAUAAAAACAAUCUAGAGUGUAUUUUGGGUAGAGAUGUACAACUGCUUUGCAGUUUGCACCUCUCCACGCUGCGUGCAUUCAUUAAAAUCAAUUGUUUGAUUGACCUCUUCUGGACCAUCAUUGUUUUACUCUCAUCCUCAAUUUCGAACUCGUAACAUAAGCAUGCAUGCAAUUAACCUGCUAUGUUCUCAUCUUCCCUCAACAUGUAUCACCUGGACACUCUCACCAGUGAAGCUUAAAACCCUCUUGGAUGGAACAUC
Oreochromis aureus is the source of this 2635-nucleotide long non-coding RNA. The record is from Ensembl. NCBI's taxonomy places the organism in Eukaryota, Metazoa, Chordata, Actinopteri, Cichliformes, Cichlidae.